RNAcentral lists this ribosomal RNA (253 nucleotides) under uncultured bacterium. RNAcentral's name for it is "partial 16S ribosomal RNA". It matches the Rfam family "Bacterial small subunit ribosomal RNA", at positions 524 to 776 of the family's 1533-position model. The record is from RNAcentral.
UACAGAGGGUGCAAGCGUUAAUCGGAAUUACUGGGCGUAAAGCGUGCGUAGACGGUUACAUAAGUCAGGUGUGAAAGCCCCGGGCUCAACCUGGGAAUUGCAUUUGAGACUGUGUAGCUAGGGUGCGGAAGAGGGAAGCGGAAUUUCCGGUGUAGCGGUGAAAUGCGUAGAUAUCGGGAGGAACACCAGUGGCGAAGGCGGCUACCUGGACCAGCACUGACACUGAAGCACGAAAGCGUGGGGAGCAAACAGG